AGAGUUUGAUCAUGGCUCAGGACGAACGCUGGCGGCGUGCUUAACACAUGCAAGUCGAACGGGGUCCAACCUCUCGCAAGAGAGGGGAAGACCUAGUGGCGAACGGGUGCGUAACACGUGAGGAACCUGCCACGAAGACCGGGACAACACCGGGAAACCGGUGCUAAUACCGGAUAUCCCCAUCGAAUCGCAUGGUUUGAUGAGGAAAUGGAUUCCGCUUUGGGAGGGCCUCGCGGCCUAUCAGCUUGUUGGUGAGGUAACGGCUCACCAAGGCUUCGACGGGUAGCUGGUCUGAGAGGACGACCAGCCACACUGGGACUGAGACACGGCCCAGACUCCUACGGGAGGCAGCAGUGGGGAAUCUUGCGCAAUGGGCGAAAGCCUGACGCAGCAACGCCGCGUGCGGGAUGACGGCCUUCGGGUUGUAAACCGCUUUCAGUAGGGACGAAAUUGACGGUACCUGCAGAAGAAGCCCCGGCCAACUACGUGCCAGCCGCCGCGGUAAUUC
This 508-nucleotide ribosomal RNA is filed under the name uncultured bacterium. Its description in RNAcentral is "bacterial SSU rRNA". It matches the Rfam family "Bacterial small subunit ribosomal RNA", at positions 8 to 526 of the family's 1533-position model. The record is from RNAcentral.